This 164-nucleotide ribosomal RNA is filed under the name Plantago palmata. Its description in RNAcentral is "5.8S ribosomal RNA". It matches the Rfam family "5.8S ribosomal RNA". Rfam says of the family: 5.8S ribosomal RNA (5.8S rRNA) is a component of the large subunit of the eukaryotic ribosome. It is transcribed by RNA polymerase I as part of the 45S precursor that also contains 18S and 28S rRNA. Functionally, it is thought that 5.8S rRNA may be involved in ribosome translocation. Lineage: Eukaryota; Viridiplantae; Streptophyta; Magnoliopsida; Lamiales; Plantaginaceae. The record is from RNAcentral.
UCAAAAACGACUCUCGGCAACGGAUAUCUCGGCUCUCGCAUCGAUGAAGAACGUAGCGAAAUGCGAUACUUGGUGUGAAUUGCAGAAUCCCGUGAACCAUCGAGUCUUUGAACGCAAGUUGCGCCCGANGCCUUCGGGCUGAGGGCACGCCUGCCUGGGCGUCA